RNAcentral lists this ribosomal RNA (253 nucleotides) under uncultured bacterium. RNAcentral describes it as "partial 16S ribosomal RNA". It matches the Rfam family "Bacterial small subunit ribosomal RNA", at positions 524 to 776 of the family's 1533-position model. The record is from RNAcentral.
UACAGAGGUCUCAAGCGUUGUUCGGAUUCAUUGGGCGUAAAGGGUGCGUAGGCGGCGCGGUAAGUCGGGUGUGAAAUCUUGGAGCUUAACUCCGAAACUGCAUUCGAUACUGCCGUGCUUGAGGACUGGAGAGGAGACUGGAAUUUACGGUGUAGCGGUGAAAUGCGUAGAUAUCGUAAGGAAGACCAAUGGCGAAGGCGGGUCUCUGGACAGUUCCUGACGCUGAUGCACGAAAGCCAGGGGAGCAAACGGG